Molecule: ribosomal RNA, 407 nt
Filed under: uncultured bacterium
Lineage: Bacteria
Description: partial 16S ribosomal RNA
Rfam family: Bacterial small subunit ribosomal RNA
Source: RNAcentral
AUUGAACGCUGGCGGCAGGCAUAACACAUGCAAGUCGAGCGGAGCGGCGGACGGGUGAGUAAUGCCUAGGAAUCUGCCUGGUAGUGGGGGAUAACGUCCGGAAACGGGCGCUAAUACCGCAUACUAUCAGAUGAGCCUAGGUCGGAUUAGCUAGUGGGUGGGGUAAAGGCCUACCAAGGCGACGAUCCGUAACUGGUCUGAGAGGAUGAUAAGGCAAACUGGAACGGAGACAUGGUCCAGACUCCUACGUGAGGCAGCAGUGGGGAAUAUUGGACAAUGGGCGAAAGCCUGAUCCAGCUAUGCCGCGUGUGUGAAGAAGGUCUUCGGAUUGUAAAGCACUUUAAGUUGGGAGGCGUGACCAACAGAAUAAGCACCGGCUAACUUCGUGCCAGCCGCCGCGGUAAUAC